RNAcentral lists this ribosomal RNA (486 nucleotides) under Dialister invisus. RNAcentral describes it as "bacterial SSU rRNA". It matches the Rfam family "Bacterial small subunit ribosomal RNA", at positions 28 to 480 of the family's 1533-position model. The record is from RNAcentral. Lineage: Bacteria; Bacillati; Bacillota; Negativicutes; Veillonellales; Veillonellaceae.
GACGAACGCUGGCGGCGUGCUUAACACAUGCAAGUCGAACGAAAAGACGGAAAGAGCUUGCUCUUUCCGGAAUUGAGUGGCAAACGGGUGAGUAACACGUAAACAACCUGCCUUCAGGAUGGGGACAACAGACGGAAACGACUGCUAAUACCGAAUAAGUUCCAAGGGCCGCAUGGCCCAUGGAAGAAAAGGUGGCCUCUACCUGUAAGCUAUCGCCUGAAGAGGGGUUUGCGUCUGAUUAGCUGGUUGGGGGGGUAACGGCCCACCAAGGCGACGAUCAGUAGCCGGUCUGAGAGGAUGAACGGCCACACUGGAACUGAGACACGGUCCAGACUCCUACGGGAGGCAGCAGUGGGGAAUCUUCCGCAAUGGGCGAAAGCCUGACGGAGCAACGCCGCGUGAGUGAUGACGGCCUUCGGGUUGUAAAACUCUGUGAUCCGGGACGAAAAGGCAGAGUGCGAAGAACAAACUGCAUUGACGGUACCG